ACUUUUUAUUGUCAGAAACCACCAGAAGACUAUAGUACUAACCCUAAUUUUCAGAAACAAUUCUCAAUCCAUUUUCAUCGUCCUAUUUAUACACAAACUUAGCAAAGAUAGCACCGAAAGAAAGCUUUGAAGAUUUAUCAAUCUCAACAUCAAAGAGGAGCAUCGGAAGACAACGACGAGUGAAGGUUGCAAAAAAAGAUGACGAAAAUGCAAGAAAAUAGCAAAAAAUGCCAAGUACCCAAACCGCGCUACAGACCAGGCUUCGCGAGGUCUAUAUCCAGCUUGACCGCGCUACAGACCAGGCUUCGCGAGGUCUAUAGCCAGGUUGACCACGAUCGCGGGUUAAAAGUCUCCAACCCGAAUUUGGACUCAAGGACUUCAACUCUAGCCUAUAAAUACUCCUUAAACAUGUCUAAGAGAAUAGGAGGACGUUUUUAGUGCAAAUUCGACCUAAAGAAGACGCUUUUGGAGAGAGGAUUCGACUUAAGGAGGUAAGAACACGCUAGGAGCAAGGCUAAGAAUUCUUCUACGAGUUUUUCACUUCCUUCUUCCUAUUUCCAUUAUUGGUUAUGAUCAAUUCUAGUAUUAUACUUUAGCAUACUAUUAUGAAUAGCUAAUUUGUUAUCUAGGGUUUUGAUGGAACCUUUUGUGGGAUGGAUUCUUAUUACGUUUUUAUAUAAUUGAGUCGUUGGAUUUCUCUUCUUGUUCAA
This is a long non-coding RNA of Nicotiana tabacum (common tobacco), 710 nucleotides long. RefSeq lists it as uncharacterized. Lineage: Eukaryota; Viridiplantae; Streptophyta; Magnoliopsida; Solanales; Solanaceae. The record is from RefSeq and is a predicted model, not a curated record.